RNAcentral lists this microRNA precursor (74 nucleotides) under Bombyx mori (domestic silkworm). RNAcentral describes it as "mir-2807 microRNA precursor family". It matches the Rfam family "mir-2807 microRNA precursor family". Lineage: Eukaryota; Metazoa; Arthropoda; Insecta; Lepidoptera; Bombycidae. The record is from Rfam by way of RNAcentral.
UUAACUAAAAUUUGUAUGGAGUUCGAACGUUCGCUGCUAGGGGCGCUGUUCCAACUCCAUACAGAUUUGAGUUA